UACGUAGGGUGCGAGCGUUGUCCGGAAUUAUUGGGCGUAAAGAGCUCGUAGGCGGUUUGUUGCGUCGGCCGUGAAAACCUGCAGCUUAACUGUGGGCCUGCGGCCGAUACGGGCAGACUUGAGUUCGGUAGGGGAGACUGGAAUUCCUGGUGUAGCGGUGAAAUGCGCAGAUAUCAGGAGGAACACCGGUGGCGAAGGCAGGUCUCUGGGCUGACACUGACGCUCAUGCACGAAAGCGUGGGGAGCAAACAGG
RNAcentral lists this ribosomal RNA (253 nucleotides) under uncultured bacterium. RNAcentral's name for it is "partial 16S ribosomal RNA". It matches the Rfam family "Bacterial small subunit ribosomal RNA", at positions 524 to 776 of the family's 1533-position model. The record is from RNAcentral.